ACUAGGGCUAAUUAAAAGAAAGAAGAAGCAGCAGCUGAAUCUUCUAUUCUUCUUGUCUGUGCUUUUGUUAAAAGGAUUCCCAAAGAAAAACCAUGAAGCUGAAACAACUGGAAAGCCUCUUAGGCGGUCUUCAACAGUUCUCAAACCCCAAGGUGGAGCUGGAACAGUACCCUACUGGACCUCACAUCGCCUCUGGCUUGCUCUACACUGCUGAGAAUUCAUUUGAUGAUAUUAGCAACAAAGUUGUGGCUGAUUUUGGUUGUGGAUGUGGCACUCUAGGUGCUGCUGCUGCUCUAUUGGGUGCCGAGCAGGUUAUCGGAAUUGAUAUUGAUUCUCAAUCUCUUGAAAUAGCAUCAAUGAACGCCGAGGAUCUUGAGUUGGAAAUAGACUUUAUUCAGUGUGACAUCAGUAACCUAGGAUGGAGAGGUCAAAUUGUUGAUACCGUUGUGAUGAAUCCUCCAUUUGGAACUCGAAAGAAGGGUGCUGACAUGGAUUUUCUAUUUGUAGCAUUGAAGGUUGCUUCUCAAGCAGUUUAUUCAUUGCAUAAGACCUCAACAAGAGAUCAUGUGAAAAGAGCGGCCUUGAGGGACUUAAAUGCUAGCAGCGCUGAGGUCUUGUGUGAGGUGGGUAAAACAAGCUUCACAAUCUGAUGAUAUGUCUUUUAUGACCAUAAACAAAUGUUGCCAUUAUGCAUUAUCGUUCACAGCUCCGUUUUGAUGUUCCUCAACUAUACAAGUUUCACAAGAAAAAAGAGGUGGAUAUUGCUGUGGACCUCUGGCGAUUUGUACCCAAAAGGAGUAGGGGAAAAGACAUUUAACUGCCUAAAUGCUCAUCAAGACCAUGCUUGAAGUAUAUCUCACAUUGAACGAACAAAAAGGAUGGUCCUUUUAACUCCCCUUGAUUUUAGUACUGGAGGUGUCAGGUGUGGUUCUGUAGGAGAAGCAGAUUCAGGAAUGUGACUUCAUGUAAUAGUUGAUGAGAAAUCAAGAAAGUCCUAUGGCUCCUUAUGUGUUUGCCUCGCUAUCUUAAUUUGAGACACUUCGUAAAAUCUCUAUAUAUCAAUUUUGCAGUCUCAUCUGGAUUAGAGAAACGAGCUUAGAGCUGUGAUUUUCAAUUAAAAUCUCUCUUAUCCUAAACGUUGGACAUAUCCCUGUGAAUGAGCUGAGGAAAAUUGAGUAUAUGUAACAGCUAAAUAUUAGGUAAUGUUUAGUACUAGUGAAGUGGAAGUACAUUAUUUGUAAUAUGUUUAAUUAAUUUAUAUUAUAGUAUUUGUUUUGUAACAGCUCAUUGCAAUGUAAGAUUACAAUGCAAUUACAUUACAAUUA
Theobroma umbraticum is the source of this 1325-nucleotide non-coding RNA. NCBI's taxonomy places the organism in Eukaryota, Viridiplantae, Streptophyta, Magnoliopsida, Malvales, Malvaceae. The record is from RefSeq and is a predicted model, not a curated record.